Molecule: long non-coding RNA, 3445 nt
Organism: Zingiber officinale
Lineage: Eukaryota; Viridiplantae; Streptophyta; Magnoliopsida; Zingiberales; Zingiberaceae
Exons: 2
Source: RefSeq, a predicted model, not a curated record
CUUAAACACUUGUCCUCUUUGUUUACUGGAUCUGUAGCAUUCAAAUGAUAUUAUGCAUGUUAAAUUGUUUUGCCUGUCAUACCAGUAUCAUAGGAAUUUACUCAUGUCUGUUUGGUUUUUGCAUGAUUUAAUCAAGUUCUACUAGGUUCUUGAAGGGUACAUGAUAAAAGGACUAUUUUAAAUGAUUAGGGAAUUUAUGAAAUUAGGAUGAUAUGUUUUAAGGCUAAGUUAUUUAAAGUAGGAUGAUUACAGAUUUAGGCUUUUAAAAAAAACCAGCAGCCACCAUAUGUGCACCAUUCAUUUGAUAUUAUGUGUUAUAUUGUUAAGCAUGUCAUACUAGUUUCGUAGGAAAUUUACUCAUGUUUGUAUGGCGGGGCAUGGUUUAAUCAAGUUAUACCAGAUUUUUGAAGGGCACAUGAUGAAAGGACUAUCAUGGAAUUUAUGAAAUUAGGAUGUUAUACUUUAAAGCUAAGUUAUUUAAAUUUAGAUUAGAUCGUACCAAGUGGAAAGGUAAUAGGUGACAAAUUCUCUUUAGCCCGACAUUUCUUUUAUGUUAGUUGCUUGUGAAAAAAAAUAUAAGGAUUAUGAUUAUGAUGAUGACUUAAGAGGAAAAGGCCUCAAAGGAGCCCGUUCAUGGGAAAAAAAAUCUCCAGAGGGAGUCCGUUUACGGGAAAAGGCCCCAGAGGGAACCCAUUUAUAGGAAAAGACCCCAGAGGGAGCACAUUUAUAGGAAAAGACCCUAGAGGGAGUCUGUUUAUGGGAAAAGGUCCCAAAGGGAGCCCGAUUAAGGGAAAAUGCCCUAGAAGAAGUCCAACAUUGGAUUUCCAUAUUAGGCCACAACCUAGUGAUGAGUGCUACUAGCACCCCGCUGCCAAGUACCAUGGUUUCAUAAUUGAGAUUGAUCAAUUGACCGGAUAAUAAUAGCUAGUCACUUUUAAUGAUUACACCUCACCUUAAAGGGAUUAUCGAUAUAUAAUGGCGAUUAAAGCUGCGCAAUGAUAUAGGGAUUGGUGAUGAGCUCUUGGAAAUUCUUCUUUUAGCAUCAUCUUAUGUAUACUAAUGUAAUUUCUGGAUAUCUUUUCCUACUCUAUACUCUGUGAAUUUUAUAUCUCUCAUACGACAUGCUAUCUUCCUAUUACAUGUACACUUAUCUCCUUCAUGCUAGACUUAUGACUUCUCUCAUUUAAUAUAUAUUCAAGAUAUAACAGCUGCUAUCUUCUCUUUUAUUACCUGAUGCCAAACUUGCUUAUCUGUUUAUUUUUAAACGAAGCAUGUAACUGAAUUUUUUUGCAUAAACAACUACUAUCUUCUACAGAUAUCUCUUAUCUUCCUUUUAAACUUAGGAUCGUUAACCAAUCAUGUUGUAUGCGUAAUAAUUGUUAUUAAUGGUUAAGAAGUGCUGAGCUUUAGACUCAUUCAAUGUGUAUGAGUACAGGUGAUAAUAAUUAUAAGGUUGAAGGCUCUGACGCUUGACUAGACCGGACCACUGCAACACACACCCGAGGACCCCGUUGCUUACCGCGUUAGGAUAGGCCAAUAAUUUUUUUAUGGUUUAUGUCGGAGUUUGAAAAAAAAAAGAGUAUGCCUAAGUAUUAUUCCUAAGUUUUUAUUUUAAUUAGACCGAUUUUUCAGAGAUUUUAAUCGUACUGGUAUGGUCACACUAUGAUUAUAUGCCAGUAGCAUUUUGCUUAACCAGUCAUGCUUUGAUACAUUUAUAUAUCUUAACUUCUAGGUUUUCUUUUUCCUCACAUGGUGGUGCAUUUUCAUUUAGUUAGAUUAUCUACUUUUAAAAGUGGUUAAUGUGUUGUACAUCACAUGUCUACAUAUGCAAAUGUACUCAAAUAUUAACUAAAAGUAUAAUCGAUGCAUCUCAGUCGAGUUAGCUUAUUAUAUUAGUCUGAGGUAUAUGUUUAGGAAUAGACCAUAUGUAAUGAUAAAAAAAAACUGGAGUAUACUGGCAUUAAUUAUUGUAAGUAGGAAUCAGAGUCAUUUCAGUUGGUAUCAGAGCAGAGAUCUUGAAGGGUGUGUCUACAAUUGGUCCCGGAAAGCUCAAGAAGUCAAGCCUCAAGUCUGUGAGUUUUUACUGCUUUAAAUAUUACACGUUAAAAUUAAAUGCUUUCAUGAUAUAAAAGGAUUUGGAGGAUAAAUACUAUUAAAUUUAAGUGCAUGAUGCUUACGUAUUGCAUGGGAUGUUGGGUGCAUAUAUGACUCUGAGACGUGUUGUUAACGGAGAUAAGGAUGAAGAGGAAUGUGAGGAGGUGCGACCCCCUCCAGAUGCUGCUACACAAUUACUUGAAGGAAAGGCUCAAUUAUUCGAACAGUAUGUGGGUAAUGCUAAUAGGGGAGGGCAGCAGGACAUCUACGUGCAGUUUAGGAGAAUUGAUCUUAAAGAUUUCUCGGGUACUACCGAUCCAUUCAUGGUGGAGGGAUGGAUCCGAUCAUUAGAGGUGAUCUUCUGAUAUAUGAAUAUAGCUGAUGUUGAUAGGGUCUGUUGUGCCAUCUAUCUACUGAAAGACGACGCUUCCUUAUGGUGGGAGGGAGCCGAAAGAGGGGUUGAUCUAAAAACCUUGACUUGUGAAGAUUUCAAGAGAAUUUUCUAUGAUAAAUACUUUACAGCCGACGUUUGGGGACGACUGAAGAGGGAGUUUAUGAGUCUUCGUCAGGGGGAUUUAACUAUUGCUGAGUUUGUUAAGAAGUUUGAUAAGGGGUGCCACUUUGUACCCCUUAUUGCCAAUGAUGCUGUUGAGAAACUCAGGCACUUCUUGGAUGGUCUUAGGCCUACUAUCAGAUGUUCUCCUCACCAACCCGACUAUGUAUAAUGAUGCAGUUAAUGGAGCUUAUAGGGCAGAGCAGUCCUUGAAAGACAUAGCAUGGGAGAUGCAGAGGAAGAGGCCACAACUACAACAACAGCAACAACAGAAUAAGAAGUCAUACACGGGGUCACAGAAAGGACAAAAAAAGCCUCCGGGGCAACCCAAGCAACAACUAAGAGUAGCUACCCUAAAGACCUAGGAGAAGCCACUGUGCAAGGAGUGCAACCGCCAGCACUAUGACAAAUGCAUGUGGGGUACCUACAUGUGCUUCAACUAUGGAGAAGAGGGACAUAAAGCUGUGUAUUGCCCAAAGAAGAAACAACCUAUGAUUGGUCGAGCCUUUGUGAUUCAUGCCGAGGAGGCAGAGCCAGACACUACGCUUAUCACAGAUAAAGGUAAAGGAAAGAUAGACUAGUGGAGGCUGGAGGGCAAUGCAAUGAAGAUGUGUGUGGAUGGAACUUGGAAUAAAGACCUUGGAGAAACUAGAAAUAAAUCUGAAACUUUAGCAUUAUAUUAAGUUGUUACUUUCCUUAUUUCAGUUAUUUUAAUGCUAUGAAUCCUGAAAGACCUGGUUAGAUUGUUAGUAUUCCUGCUUAGAAUGUCAGUUAGUGUUAUUGGGAUGUUUAUGGACA